UAUGUUGGAUGUCUAGUUUGUCUGUUUCUGUGUUUGGCCUGAUAUGGUUCUCAAUCAUAGGCAGGUGUUAGUCAUUGUCUCUGAUUGGGAACCAUAUUUAGGUAGCCUGUUUUGUCAUUGUGGGUUGUGGGUGAUUGUCUAUGUUAGUUGCUUGUGUCAGCACAGUUCGUAUAUAGCGUCACAGUCGUUUAUUGUUUUGUGUAGUUUGUUCAAGUGUUCGCUGUUAUUUAAAAUCACGAUGAACACAUACCACGCUGCAUUUUGGUCCUCCGAUCCUUCCAACUCCUCCUAUUUAUCUCCAGACGACAGCCGUGACAGAGAUUGGGUGUCACUACAGGUUAAAGAAAAAAGAAAGCCAACACAUAAAUGUAAGGCGUGGGAGCCCGACGAGCCGGCUGAGGCGUGGGAGCCCGACGUUAAUGCUGACACUGGGAUCAGACUGAGGAACAGGCAGAUAUGGAGGGGCAAUCAACAAAGUGUAGGAGUCCAGGAUGCCGGUGGACGGAGUUGGGAGGGUCGUCAGCUACAUGGGAAACACCUGGGCCUGGUGUGUCCCAGGAUAAAUACACCACUUCCCCAUUUAUGGAAUAGACUCUCUCCAAGCAGACACCUUUAUGGAUUUUGUUGUGUUUCUUGGUGUUGUUUUGGUUGUUUGUUUUAGCAACUUUCAACACCCUCCAUCACAUUCAUGCGUGCAAAACACUCACUUACACUACUGAUUACUGAUUACACACACCAUUGUAUAUUGUACUUAGUUUACUUUAUUUAAUAAAUAUAUA
Long non-coding RNA from Oncorhynchus keta (chum salmon), 779 nucleotides. RefSeq lists it as uncharacterized. The record is from RefSeq and is a predicted model, not a curated record. Lineage: Eukaryota; Metazoa; Chordata; Actinopteri; Salmoniformes; Salmonidae. The transcript has 3 exons.